RNAcentral lists this ribosomal RNA (396 nucleotides) under uncultured bacterium. RNAcentral's name for it is "partial 16S ribosomal RNA". It matches the Rfam family "Bacterial small subunit ribosomal RNA", at positions 523 to 917 of the family's 1533-position model. The record is from RNAcentral.
AUACGUAGGGGGCGAGCGUUGUCCGGAAUGAUUGGGCGUAAAGGGCGCGUAGGCGGCCCGGUAAGUCUGGAGUGAAAGUCCUGUUUUUAAGAUGGGAAUUGCUUUGGAUACUGUCGGGCUUGAGUGCAGGAGAGGUAAGUGGAAUUCCCAGUGUAGCGGUGAAAUGCGUAGAGAUUGGGAGGAACACCAGUGGCGAAGGCGACUUACUGGACUGUAACUGACGCUGAGGCGCGAAAGUGUGGGGAGCAAACAGGAUUAGAUACCCUGGUAGUCCACACUGUAAACGAUGAAUGCUAGGUGUAGGGGGUAUCGACCCCUUCUGUGCCGCAGUCAACACAAUAAGCAUUCCGCCUGGGGAGUACGGCCGAAAGGUUGAAACUCAAAGGAAUUGACGGG